This 492-nucleotide ribosomal RNA is filed under the name uncultured bacterium. Its description in RNAcentral is "partial 16S ribosomal RNA". It matches the Rfam family "Bacterial small subunit ribosomal RNA", at positions 28 to 507 of the family's 1533-position model. The record is from RNAcentral.
GAUGAACGCUAGCUACAGGCUUAACACAUGCAAGUCGAGGGGAAACGGCAUUAAGUGCUUGCACUUUUUGGACGUCGACCGGCGCACGGGUGAGUAAAGCGUAUCCAACCUUCCCAUGACUAAGGGAUAACCUGCCGAAAGGCAGACUAAUACCUUAUGGUCUUCACUGACGGCAUCAGAUGUGAAGUAAAGAUUUAUCGGUUAUGGAUGGGGAUGCGUCUGAUUAGCUUGUUGGCGGGGUAACGGCCCACCAAGGCAACGAUCAGUAGGGGUUCUGAGAGGAAGGUCCCCCACAUUGGAACUGAGACACGGUCCAAACUCCUACGGGAGGCAGCAGUGAGGAAUAUUGGUCAAUGGGCGAGAGCCUGAACCAGCCAAGUAGCGUGCAGGAUGACGGCCCUAUGGGUUGUAAACUGCUUUUGUAUGGGGAUAAAGUCAAUCACGUGUGAUUGUUUGCAGGUACCAUAAGAAUAAGGACCGGCUAAUUCCGUG